This 1257-nucleotide long non-coding RNA is filed under the name Eutrema salsugineum. Its description in RNAcentral is "long non-coding RNA (ESAL_LNC001579)". Lineage: Eukaryota; Viridiplantae; Streptophyta; Magnoliopsida; Brassicales; Brassicaceae. The record is from RNAcentral.
GGUCUCCAACAAAAAAAAGAAACCUCGGUUAAAAACAUUUGUAAAGUUCUUCAAGAUGAUCUUUUGUCAGAUCCGAACCAGUUCCUUGACAAUUCCACCCAAUGAUAUUCAUAUUAGGGAGAAGUUUCUGAUUUCUAAUUUAAAACUUAGAUGUGUAAUUUGGGUUAUAUGUGUUUAACUAAUAAGAUCCAUAAAGGCCCAGCGGCCUACAUUAAAUCUUGGGCUUAGCCCAGAAUUGAAUUAGGCCCGCUAAUUUGCUGGCCCAGAAGACAGAUACAAUUAGGUCAAAAAAAGUAAUUUUUCCCUGGCCGCCGAUGAAGCUUCUCCGCCGCCACAGCCGUCAAGACCGUCGAUAUCUUCUGAAAGUUGGUGACUUUUGGAGAUCCGGCAUUUUAGAAACUAUCUGGAGCCUUGCCGUCGGAUAAGCACCACAAAAUUCUUUGGCUUGAAGACACCAAUGGAGGUAAUAGACAUGGAUCUCAAAGCCUUCCACGAAAAAAAAAAAAUUAGAAGAUAUGCAGCAGAUAGAGGUCUUAGCACAAGGCUAGAUACAGAGAAAACUCGCUUUUAGCGGAAGGAGAUUCAGUUCCUCAGAGAUCGUGGCUUGGUCCUGAGAUGAGCAUCGCCGGUGAAACCAUGAGAAAGAGUACAGAUCUUAGAGGGGGAACGAAGAGACCAGGUCCAGGGUUGCGCCGGUGAGACCAUGAGAACGAGCAAGCUCAAAAGGAGCAAGAGUUGUGCUGUUCAGAUCUGUAAGAAAUCAGGUCCAGGUCUUCAAAGGAAGGAGGAGCAGCACCGAUAACUUUAAGCAAAUCUUAAAACUCUCAACAGUAGAGAAUGGAGACAGCUGUCUUCGUCUUCAACAAAUAGAAGCACCGUAAUCUUCAGCCACACUAGAGAGGAACACCAAAGAGAUUCAAAGUCAAGAAUAUGGGGCAAAAAAGAGAUGAUCUGAGAUCCCCUGAGUCUACAUUGGGAAAAGGGCCAGAGAGACAAAGCGUAUGCUUCUCACAUGACCUCUUUUUACUUCCUAUAAUAUGAUAUCUUUCUUCUCUUUUUUUGUGUGUGUGUGUGGUCGUGACUAGUGAUGAUGGGAGGGGCAUUUGUUGUUUUUUGUUUUCGGGGUUCUUUCGAAUUUCCAAUGGAUGUUUUGAGAUUUUAUAAUUUUCUUUUCGUCUCUUUUUCUUUCUGGUUUUAAUCAAUUAAAACUAAAUAUAAAGGAGUAAGACUUAACCGGUGGGGUUUAAGAUGUAAGAG